GAUAUAGGAAAUAUUACAUAGACGAUUCGACAACCGACAAUACUACCUGUCUUAUGAAGACCUACGCCUAACUGCAUCACCUGAGCCGUCCUAUGAAGAUCCACGCCUGACCAGAUGUACUUGCACCAUGUUGAAGAUUCCCUUGCAAGCUUUUUCCUCUGUAGUCUGCAUAAUUGUUUAAUAAACCGCUCUCUCCGGGACUUGAAACCUGGAUUUCCUGUAAUCUGCAAUAAAUUUGCGUAGUCUGGGAUUUGAACCCCAGACUUGGGUGUAAAAGCCUUUAAACCUUAACCAAUAGGCUACGGUGCUUCCACAAUAGUAACUAUUUAAAGUCGUAUAUAUAGAUAAAUAAGAAUGAAAUUACACUGAAAGUUGGGUCUACUUUGUCUGUCAAUAAUAUGAAUGAUGUUCAUUGAGUUAGGCCCAUAUCAUUAAUUUGGACACGAUUGUGUGGAUAAUUAUUAGUCUGACCUUUGCUAUUGGGCUAAAAGAAAUUUAAGUGUUGAUCACAAACUUAAAGAGGUUAAUAAUACACACGUGACUUUUAUUUCAUUGCCGUCAACUGUCUGGUUUUCGACCCAUAGUGUUUUAGCUGAAACCUGAGACUCAAAUUAACCCAUGUUCGAUAAUACUUAUGGCAGAUUGACGUAUAUUUACAAGUAUUGGUUAAUAUAGCUAAUACAGAGACAUUGAUAAUUUUUGUCAUAUAUUAAUAUUGCAAAUAUUAUAUUGAAACUUAAAUUUUGACAAAUCCUACUAUACCGUCUAUGACUUGGACCUGAUAGGCACAUAACAUGCUUCCACAAAAAAAGAAUCAAAUAUUUUGUCUAAAUAAGCCUUGAUUUACUUUGUAAUUCUAUAAUUUUAAACAACAAUAAUUCUAUGACGAUGAAAAAGUGGGUCUCUCUCUCUAAAACCUCUCGAGAAAAAAAAGGAAAAAAAAAUUCUCCGAUCUUGCUUCCGGCGGCUGCUCUCCUCUUCGUCGUCGGAGGGCUUCUCAUCCCUUUUUCUCUUUCUUUUCCUUUGCGCUGCUCUCUCCUCUCUUACCCAUCUCUGAUAUGUGGUCGUCCCUAGAGCAAGAUCGUUCGCCGGCGGAGGAGCCUAGGCCGAAUCUGGUGGCCGCUUCGUCCCUCUGGUGACUUUGCGAGGAGGGUGUAGUGACGGUGGGAGGUAGGAGUUUGUUUCUGGGUAGGGUUUUCGUCCGGUCUCGCUUUGUAGAUCUCCGGCGAAACCCGUGGAAUUGCGGCGCGUGGCUUCGUAUGGUGGUUCCUUCGCCUCGGAUCUGUUCUUUCCCGGUGUUUUUCAUGUCAUUUGUUUUCCCAGCGAAGUGGCACGGCGGUCCAUGAUUCUCCAGCGCACGAGGCGUCUUGACGUUAGGUUUUGCGCAGCUCAAGGUGCAGUAGGUACAGUGUGGUUCCUCCUCUCUGGUGUGUCUGAGGCUUGGUCGGCUUCGUCGUGUGGUGUUCCGGCUGUGUCUUGCUAGACGCGUGCUUCCAUGGCUUGGGGUUUGAGUCGGAGUUGUCUAUGGCUUCGGCCCUUCCUGUGUUCAUGGUGCUUCCUUCUUGUCCUGGCCUCGGUGCUCUCCCUAAUUUACCUCAUGCUUUCUUCUUCCGGCUGCGUUUUAAUUGUCUUAGUUGUUCCGGUUUGCAAGCCGGUCAGUUUCCUGGUUCUCAGGGACUGUCCUUGUCCGGCUGGCUCUUCCUCGCCGUGGGGUCUGCGGCUCAGGCGGAGCUUCGGGUUAACUUGGUUUGAGCUCAACUUCCCAGCACUAGAUUCAGUGGCACGCACUCUGUCUACUAGUGGUUGAGGCUCUUCCGGCUUGGUUUGAGGUUACGAUGUGUGUGUGUGGAGUGUGGAGUUUGCUGCUGUUUUUUUUGCCUGUUUUGUAUAGAUCUUCGAAUAAUAUUGCUCGAUGUUGUUGUAGUGGGAGUGCUAGACUGCAGGCUUGUCUGUCUUCGGGAUGGCUGAUGCUCAGGAAGUCUUCUUCGAGCUAUUCUUGGUUGGACCAAUCAUAAAGAACGGAUCAUCAGAGAGGCUAAAUUUUAUCGGGUUCUGACUCUCGGAUUAACUGUGGUACAGUUUUUUGUGGCAAACGGUAAGCGCGGAUUGGUCGACUCCUCUCGCUAGUAGUCCGGUUUGUUCGUUUGUCCCUGCUAGGCUUCAUCGAGUAGCUGUUUAGAUUUAUUUUAUUUGUUCUGCUUCUCGUUUCCAUAGUACAUCUGUCAAAAACAAGAAAAUUGGAAAUAAUAUCUUAACAUUUUUACUAAAAAAAGAAAAAAGUAGUAAAAUAAAAUAAAAGAAUCAAUAUUUUGUCUAAAUAAGCCUUGAUUUACUUUGUAAUUCUAUCACUACUAUAUAAAAUGGACUAUUUUAAGAGUUUCUAAGGGGUGCCAGAUGGGCAGAAAUAUUCCCCACCAAUCAAUCUGCCAGAUCAUUAUCCGAGUAACCAAAUCACGCCACGUCAGCUUCGCUAUAAAAUUCCCUUCUACGAGUUUGCUCAUAAAAUUAUUGGCCCGAUCUUAAUAAACUAUCGACGAUAUUGCUUGGGCUGAUUGGGCCCAUUAUCUUUCUCCGACCCCUUCCAACAAUAUGUCAACGUCGCGUAACUGUAAACCUAAAUUCCAGGACUCUGUAAAUCGCCUCGUAACGGAGCAUCAAUUAAUCGACUUAAUGAUCAUUAAACCAUUCUUCCCACUAAUUUUCUUUCAGUUCCCCUUCCUCUUUAUCCACGGGUAUUUUGAUAACCAACUCCUAUAAAUAGGAACGUCGUCUUCUUGCAACCCGUCCCUCUCUCCAUCUCAUUCCUUAAUCUCGCUGUUAAAUUCAUACUCAACAAUGGUUAUCUCCUACCUCCUCUUCUCCGACUUUAAAUCUAGCGUUGUGCUAAGAUCGUUGAUGCACGUGUUCUUGGCUUUUGGGAGGCUUAGAUCUUGGGAGUGGACAUGCUGCUCUUAGAUGAAAUGGUAACCAUUGUUAAAAUCUUCCGUCUCUGAUUUCUGGUUUGACUACCUGAAAAUCAGCAGCCGUACAUUCAUCUUGAUUUCACUUUCUCAAACAGUCCACGACUCAUCCAAGGUUCCAUUAACCACAUUGCCUAAGCAACCUCACAAGGAGCAACCAUAACGUCAGACUAAUAUUGUGUACAUGGAGAUAUUCAACCAGUUACUACAUGAACAAAUAGGAGAUGCAGCGACUCUUUCUACUAUGGAGAGCUAAAACUAUGGCAGCGAAUAGUAGCUCAAACCACUCGCAUUUUUGUGAGAAUUGCAAAUAUUAACAAUUAAGGAAUUAUCCUUUGGGAGAACGGUAAGCAUGGCGUUCCACAUCUAAAUCGAAGAAUAACGUUAAAAGUUUGGAAACACCAAAGUAACUACGAAUACUGCAGGAGAAACAUUCGUCAGAUUGUUCAUCCCACGGCUUAUCAGCCAAUUGAUUUGUAUUAACUUUCAAAUUUGUAUUAAACAGACAAAUAUGCACCAGUUUACCUAUAUCUAAUUUUUUCAUCUCUGUGCGUUUAAAUAACUUGAUUACAUGUUCUCUACAAAUGGCCUCACUCCCUGUGCUCCCCUCCUCAUUUAUACGAAUUAGUCACUAUGGGUAGUGAAUUGUGCAAACUUUGCUGCUGCGGAAGGCAAACCGUAGAACCAAUUCCCUGAAACAAAAAAAUUAUUUGGAGGCUUUGACAAAAUGGUGAUAUGCAUGUAUCCUACACGAAGAUUGCAAUGUGCUGAUGAUAUGACAAUAUAUAUUACCAUGGAGUAUAUAUUCUAUUAAAACGAAGAAAUAUUGGUUAUAAAAAAGAAGAAGAAAUAUAUAAUAAAAACAACAUAAUGAUCACUGUUACAUGUUUUUAUAAGGUUACUUAUAUUUAUUUGAGAAAUAUAUAUUUUUUAAAAAUAAUUCAAAUGACAUCAUGUUCAGAAAAUAAAAUAUGAAUUAAAUGAGAUUAAAAAAACUCAUUUAAUAAUUUUAUAAAGCUUUGAAAUAGAUUAAAAGAAAGAGAACUUCUAAGUUGGAAAAUGUAUAAAAAAAUAUGAGGUUGUGGUUUGGUUGAGCUAAUCUGAUCAUUAAUACCUAAAAUAUAUAGAAUAUCAUAAUUUUUCUUGCUAAUGGGCAUUUAAUUAAAUAAUUUUAAUAAUUAUUUGUUAUAAUUUCUCUUAGAUUAAAAUAGCCUAAACAUUUUAAAAAUAUUAAUUAAAAUUAAUGAUAUUUUUAGGUAAUUUUUUUGAAUAGUAACCCACCCGUAGGGCGGGCAAAACCUAGUACAAUACUAAAAGGCAAAUAUAAGCCAUGGAGAAGGUGUCCACGUAGGAUAUGAAAAUUAACCAAUCAGAGAGCCCGAAGUUCCCACGUCAUCUCAUUUAUUUUUUCGUAAAAAAUGAAAAAAAACAAUCCAAAGGAAAGGAUCGAACCCGAGUUAGAAUGACAUAAAUAUAUGAUAGUUACCACUAGGCCAUUGCAACUUUCUUGGACACAUAUACAAGAAUCACUAAGUAUGUAAUCACAAACUCUUAUGUACAGUUAUAAUAAUAUGAAUUCAACUUUCAAGAC
Molecule: long non-coding RNA, 4551 nt
Organism: Brassica napus (rape)
Lineage: Eukaryota; Viridiplantae; Streptophyta; Magnoliopsida; Brassicales; Brassicaceae
Exons: 3
Source: RefSeq, a predicted model, not a curated record